RNAcentral lists this transfer RNA (68 nucleotides) under Ablennes hians. Its description in RNAcentral is "tRNA-Ser(AGY)". Lineage: Eukaryota; Metazoa; Chordata; Actinopteri; Beloniformes; Belonidae. The record is from RNAcentral. RNAcentral also lists the same sequence under 2 other names.
GAGAGAGGCUCGACAGCAACGAUAACUGCUAAUUAUCACCCCCCCGGUUAAACCCCGGGGCUCACUCG